GACGAACGCUGGCGGCGUGCUUAACACAUGCAAGUCGAGCGGUAAGGCCCUUUCGGGGGUACACGAGCGGCGAACGGGUGAGUAACACGUGGGUGACCUGCCCUCAGCUCUGGGAUAAGCCUGGGAAACCGGGUCUAAUACUGGAUAUGACUCCAUGACGCAUGUUGUGGGGUGGAAAGCCUUGUGCGGCUGAGGAUGGGCCCGCGGCCUAUCAGCUUGUUGGUGGGGUGAUGGCCUACCAAGGCGACGACGGGUAGCCGGCCUGAGAGGGCGACCGGCCACACUGGGACUGAGACACGGCCCAGACUCCUACGGGAGGCAGCAGUGGGGAAUAUUGGACAAUGGGCGCAAGCCUGAUCCAGCGAUGCCGCGUGUGUGAAGAAGGCCUGCGGGUGUAAGCACUUUCAGUAGGGAAGAAAAGCCGAGUGCUAAUAUCACUCGGUCUUG
RNAcentral lists this ribosomal RNA (447 nucleotides) under uncultured bacterium. RNAcentral describes it as "bacterial SSU rRNA". It matches the Rfam family "Bacterial small subunit ribosomal RNA", at positions 28 to 472 of the family's 1533-position model. The record is from RNAcentral.